Non-coding RNA from Hordeum vulgare subsp. vulgare (domesticated barley), 137 nucleotides. Lineage: Eukaryota; Viridiplantae; Streptophyta; Magnoliopsida; Poales; Poaceae. The record is from Rfam.
ACUAUCAAGCGGCGAAACCAUUUCCCAGGUUCUGGCCGGUCUCGAUCUUGAGUACAACCCGGCCGUGUCGGCCUUUGCUGCGCGGUUGGAGUCCGUGACUAUUCAAGAACUAUACACGCAACUGUUGAGCUUCGAUG